Molecule: long non-coding RNA, 675 nt
Organism: Pollicipes pollicipes
Lineage: Eukaryota; Metazoa; Arthropoda; Thecostraca; Pollicipedomorpha; Pollicipedidae
Exons: 4
Source: RefSeq, a predicted model, not a curated record
AUGGCUGACGGUUGAUCGCCGCUCCCUGAUGCUGCCACCCGCUGAAUAAGCAAAUAAGCGGUAACCGGCGAUGACGCGUUAUUACGCGGAGCGCUGACUGGGGUUUCAGAGAUCCAGCAGCGGUGCGGAUGGCAGCGAGCCAGACGCUCACCACCGACACCACGACUGGAGAAAACCCAUCGUCCCGAAGAGCACAGUCGUCAUAGCAGGAAAACGGUACCUACAUGAUGGCGUCAAGAAGCGAGAUAUGCCUGUUGUGGCAUGAUACGCACAAGAACCGAGCAGCUAGACGUUGGCAAGGUGCAACGGACAUUGCCGUGGGCACGUGUGCAAAAAACAGGCAUGCCCGGUAACAAUUACCAUCAGACGAGGGACCUGUCUGCGUCCAAGACGGUGGAUCUGUCUGCGUCUCAGACGAAGGAUCGAGGCACGAACCAACACCACAUAGCGCAUACCGAGACAGGGGAUUGUCUGCUGUGUGCGCCAGCCAACGGAGUUUCUGGACUAAACGCGGUUGCCCGAGAUCGGGCGAAUAUGGAGACGGGCCUCCGCGACAACGGGGGAGUCUGCAGAGAUGGGCCUCCGCUACAACGGGGGAGUCUGCAGAGACGGGCCUCCGCGACAACGGGGGAGUCUGCAGAGACGGGCCUCCGCGACAACCGGCGAGUCUGCAGA